GCGAGGAGUAUGUUUUGAAUUGAGUUCUUCACAGUCUCCAGACUCGACCAGCUGAAAUUGCAUUGUAAUACAUUGAGCUUCUGAGACGGAGCUGUGUUGGAAUUUGCUUGUGUAGAUCAGUUUGUUGUUUACGUUGAAUAUCCAGAGACUAUCGGAUCUAUAUCUAUACAUGUUGUAUACGUUUCGGAAUUGUGUCAUUUGGAGAAUCAUGGACCGUGAGUGGAGAAGCGAUUGGGUUUUAAUUCUCGUCAGCGUAUAUUCUCUCAGUCUCACCUCUUGUCGGAGAGCGUUUGACUGAGCCGAUCAAGCUAUAGGCUGGAGCGGGUUUAUUCGUUUCUGCAUCAAGUCAAGGUCUUUUCACUCGUUCGGUGAAUAGUUAACUAAAGCGAAAUUAUUUGUAUUAAAUAGCCGAAGAUUUGUAAUUCAAAUAGCCCGAGGUUUCUUUCAACUCCUACGUUCAGGAGCUGUCCAGCUUGACCGUCAGACUGACCAGUACUCAGUUGUCCAGAAAAAUGGAGGCUGUUAUUGAGAAAGAAUGCAGUGCACUGGGGGGACUUUUCCAAAGUGUGAUAGGCGACAUGAAAAACAGCUACCCCAUCUGGGAAGACUUUAUCAGCAAGGCUGGGAAACUACAAUCUCAACUCAGGGCGACCGUGGUUGCAGCUGCAGCCUUCCUGGAUGCCUUUCAGAAAGUGGCUGACCUGGCCACCAACACACGAGGUAGGACCAUGUACCCGUC
This is a long non-coding RNA of Salvelinus namaycush (lake trout), 739 nucleotides long. RefSeq lists it as uncharacterized. The record is from RefSeq and is a predicted model, not a curated record. The transcript is spliced from 3 exons. Lineage: Eukaryota; Metazoa; Chordata; Actinopteri; Salmoniformes; Salmonidae.